Molecule: long non-coding RNA, 4868 nt
Filed under: Gallus gallus (chicken)
Lineage: Eukaryota; Metazoa; Chordata; Aves; Galliformes; Phasianidae
Description: lncRNA (ENSGALG00010025717.1)
Source: RNAcentral
UAGGAAUUCACUCUGCAUUUUCCAAUUUGAUGUGUCUGAAAUUCUCUUUGAACAAAUUCCAAAAUACAAGUUUUUUCUAUAGAAAUUAGCAUAGCAAUCACAUCAAUAAUAUCACUAUCUCUAUGGGAAUGAUAACUGGAGCAGUGGGGGUGUUCUUUAUUUCAAUUCUUCGUGGAUCAACUGAUUAUAUUCUGUCUUCUUUUGAACUUGUUAUUGUAAGUCAAGUGAUUCUUUAUAAGUGACAGCCCUGACAAAGAGACGAGGAUGGGAAAGCAGGUCGAAAGGAAGUCGCCAUAUGGACUUUAAAAAAGGCACUUUUUAAACAAGAUAAUGGGGAAAUGGAUGUUGCCUUUUAACCCUGUCAAGGCUGAACAUUAUUAGCAGUCUCAUAAAGGAAUAAGCUAUACCUUUUUGGUUUAAUAUCAGAUUUCACCUUAUGAUUUCCGUGACCUAGGGCUUCACAGUUCAACGUAGGAGGUGACGGUACUUCAGAGACAAGGGCCAAAUCAGGCACCUGGAGCCCUGGCAGGCGUGAGAUUUGAGAGCACUGCACAAAGAGUUACAGAAGAAUGAGAGCUCAGGAAAACCCCAUGGUUCUUUUUCCUGAGACAAAGAUAAGAAUAUUGGCUGGAGAUAGGUGAAACAGCAACUGACAGCAGAGGAGCUUGAGACAUCUCACUGGGAUUUCCUGUUCCUUUGGUAAAAGCGCCUGAUGCUCUUUUAAUGACAGCAAGCAGAGUGAAAACAAAGAGUGAGGAUGAAGACUUUGACUCUGAUCCUUGCAAAAAUUAAUAUAUUUGUCCUCCCCUUUCUGUUCUGGAGGGAACAGAAGUUUCCCUCCAGAAUUUUGUCAGUGGACAGAGAUUAGGAACCACGUCCCGGGAAGCUGAACCUAUGUACUAAACCCUCACUGAGCUGACAGCGGAGCCAUGAUCUGCCACUGGUGAAUGUCCAGGCAAUUUUUGAUUGCCCCCAGUCAACAGAUGAUCAUCCAGCUCAGCUCCACAGCAAGAACGUGUCAACCAAAGGUUUCUCAAAGUCUGGAAGAGGAGGCUACUAUGCAAGAAAUGGUGCUGUCAGAGGAGGAUGUUGUAAAGAAGACCAGCCAAAAUUAUUUUCCCCGGGGCAUCAUAAGCAUGCUUAUUUGGGCUGGGAUAGCCAACCUUUCCCCAAAAUGGAUCCUGAUGAAAUAAUCUAUGUUUGUGAGCUGAGUACAUCCAUAGAGAUGAGAAUUCCCAAAACUGUGUUGACUCAAUGACACGCUUUGGCUUUUGGCAACGUCUGUUGGAUAGAUGGGAUUUAGAAGACCUCAGACAUGUGCUCAGGGAGACUUUGCGCCAACCUUCCCUGGAAUUCCUAAUGUCCUCAACACCAUCUGUCGUGCCCUCCAGUAUUACUUUCUUCUCCUUUUGCAUCCAAAGAAAGGUAUUUCUCUACAAAGUCUUCAUGUCCUCACAGUUACAGAGGCUCUACUGCCCAUAGCUACUUCUCCAAUUUCUCAGGUUGGUUUUAUUCCCUUUUGUACCUCUUCUGUGCAUAGGCAGGAAUACUCUACCUGGUUUAUCUUGGCAAAAACACUACAGGAAGAAGAAAAGAGAAGAAGAAAUGUACAUUGCUAAACAGUGGGCAUCUUCUCAGGCAGUAAAUAUCUUCUCAGGCAGUGGAAGCUAUUGGAUACAGAUGUGUCAAACCUAGAACAGGAGCAUGAGAGGAAAUAAGAGCCGAGGGUUUUGGCCAGGCAACAUUAUCGUUCCUUGUGAUUUCCACCUCUGUAAAAUGACAGGGCUUCAGACAGACAUAAAUAAAAAGCAAGGAGAACUCAAAUCUCACCAGUUUGAUGAACCCAACAAAAAGCUCAGGUGGGAGGAGAGGUGUUAGGAGUAUUUUUUGAGGCUUUAUACAGGGAAGUAACAAAAUACAAAUAGUUCUACAGUAAUUUACACAGUAGGUAAGGGAGAAACAUUAGCUUUAUAUAUUUAAAUAUUUAUAAAUUGUUUGCUUUAUAAGGAAGGAUUGAGGAAUAAUCCUGCCUUUGUUCUUAAAAAGUGUGAUCAGCAUUUCCUUCCUAAAGAGAGGUGAUAAGCAAGUGGGCAUUCUUUUUACAAGGCUGCAGAAGCCCACUGAAAGCUUAAUGCCUUUAGAAGGGGGAGGGUCUCUUUUCCGAGGAAGAGCAGAACAUCAGGUCUUUAAUAUUGAUAAGGAAAAGCUCGUAAAAGGAACCAUCUAAUAGCAGGGACUUCACAUAAGGAAUUUCAGAAAACUUACAGUAAAUGUUUCAGCAAACUCUGGAACAGGUGGUGCGAUCUACAUGGCAGUCUGAGCCAGCGAAAACACAAGUCAUCCAGCAAGAAAGUCGCUGAAGCAUGGUUCAAGAAGACAUAAAUAAAACACUUUCACAGGAAAAAGGGAAACCCCUUCCAAAAUGCUUGUUAAAAACAUAGGAGUUCCCUGGGCAAAACCCCAGCAAACUGACAAGGUGGAUGAAGGUUUUCCCACUUGUACAGACUGUGUAAAGAAGCUUUCUGGAAAAAGGACCUUGAGAUCCCAGUUUUCAAAACAGACCGCAGAGAGAACCCAUCUGAGAACAAGCUGUCUAUUUCCCAGGGACCACAGCCAAAAUAAGUGUCACUAAACAGGUUUGAUCAGCAAAUAUUAUAUGAGUCAUCAUCACAGGGACUCAGAGGUAGAGGUGAUCAGAAUUUAGGGGAAAAAAAAAAACAAGUGAAAACAAACAACCUCAUUUUUUAGGAGAUACAUUCGCAUCCUCAACUGUAGCAGUCAACUGUCACCAAGCCAGAUGUCAGAAAAGCUGUUAAGUCCACUAAAAGCAUACACUGAGGCCAGGAAUCUAUUUUGGCCACUUUUUGUCACAGUCAUUGCAACAGUUUGUCAAAUCACAGGCACUAAGGAAGAAUGUAAGAGGAAGUAUGGAGGUAUGAAGUGGACACCAGGAAGAUGUGGAAUGGAAGCAGUAUCUAAAGCAGGGCCAGUGUGGAGGCACAGAUCUCUCUCGUAAUCCUAACAACACUGAUAUUUUCUUUCUUUCCAAAGCAAGGGUGAAACUGGAAUGAAAUGGUCCAUCCAAGUCUUACUGAGACUGACAGGCUGGAGACCUGGCUUUGAAGUUUCCUAUGGACAAAAGUGGUUACUUUUGUAUUUCUACUGAAGAAUCUAUGCAUAACCAGAUGAAUUCAAAGGUAAGCCAUCUCUGAAACAACUGGGAAGUAAGUCAAAAACGUGGGCGUUUUCAUCAGACAGUUGAAAACCUGUUCUACACAAGAAGACAAUGAAGAAUUCUGCAGAAGACUGCUCUACAAACAUCUGGAAAUACACAGAAAUCCACACUGAAGGGCAUGGUGCUGAGCAUGGAGCUGAGAGGGAGGGUGCAAAGUCAGAUGCUGCAUGGAAAAUCGUGAGCCCUCAGAAGUCCCAACCUGCCCUUCGUGCUCUUCCUGCUGCAAGGAUUUUGCCUACGGUUUUAGAAUGCUUCUGCCACUUCCGCUGAUGCUGAGGUAAUUGCCACAUGCCGAAGUCGAGCCAAGGAAGGUUUGGUAUCACAGUGCCUCCUGUGCUCCUUCUAAGCAAAUGCACGGCUGCAGCUCCUUUUUCUUCAUAUUCUCUCUUGGAAAAUAUACCUAGAGGGAAAAAUUUAAGAAGUGAUAUUAACAGCUCAGUACAGCCAAGAAGAGUGCUAGAGAAAUUGAGGCAUUAAAAAGGGUUAAGGUAAAAUAAUAAACUGUUAUUAAGCCUAUUAACAGUUUUAAAACAUCAUUGUUUAUGGCACGAUAGAGCUUGGCUUUUUACGGGUGUUUCAUUUGUACAUUUUACUUAUUCUGCUACUAUUUAACAAUGCCAUGAAUCUCUGCUUUAAGCCCCCUCAGUAAUGCACUGAUUUAAUCUGAAUCUACUAACCCUACUUAUAAAAUAACGUUGCAACCAAACAGAGGUUAACAUUUCAUAACUUCCAACUGCAAGCAUAGAGGCUAAAAUUUUACGAGGGCCCUCAAAAAUAAUACCCACUUUAUUAAGUAUAAAAUACACGGAAUUAAUCUCAGGUCUUCACUGGGUAUUUGUGCAGAAGGGAUGUGAACAGACGCCUAGCUUUGCUCCCGCAGGUCGGCCAUGCCAUGCCCCAGCACAGGCAUCACAUUCAGGGCCCCGUGCUGCUUGACUGACCAAGACAUGACAGAGCCGUCUUUCAUUAAUGUUACAAAAAUGCUGGCAGGAGUAAACAAGCAACACUUCAUGGAUUUGGGUUUAUAAUUUCACUUCCUCUCAACGCUACUACUUACCACAGCUUCUCUGUGAUUCUUUUAACUUGCACUUGGUAGAUCUUAGUUGAGGAAAGAAGGGAAAAAAAAAAACAACUUUUAUCCAGUGAGACACUUUAUCAAGAAAAUUCUACAAGAAAUUGGUUGUUACCUGCGGAUAACAACUGGUUUGUUAGUUAAUGGCUAGAGGCAAAGCCAAGGCCAGUUAAUGCUCCAGCUGUCCAGUCAUUAACUGCAGUAAAGACUGAUUUUGAGGAGGUUAUUGCCGUGAUAAAAUAUCCUCAAAAGAUUAUAACAGCAAUAGUGUACAGAGAAAAAAAGUAUUAGUGGCUAUAGUGUGACUGAAUGGCUGCAUUUGAAAAAUUGGUCAUUCCCUGGCGGUUCAUAACCGAUUUUCCACCAGUCAAAAAGCAAGUUGUGCUCUGUUAGGUUUAUUGUACAAGGCAAUAAAAAUAUUGGCCAGGUUAAAUUGUCAGCGUGUUAUGACAUUAACCAUUCUUUUACUGUGCUUAAUUUAAGUGUUACUAUGAUUCAUUACAGAAAGAAACUGUCCUUUGCAAGUAAACAGGGGCAUUUCAGCACUGAGAACAGAUAGCA